AGAACGAACGCUGGCGGCAUGCCUAAUACAUGCAAGUCGAACGAACACUUCGGUGUUAGUGGCGCACGGGUGCGUAACGCGUGGGAAUCUGCCCUUGGGUUCGGAAUAACAGUUGGAAACGACUGCUAAUACCGGAUGAUAUCGAAAGAUCAAAGAUUUAUCGCCCAGGGAUGAGCCCGCGUAGGAUUAGCUAGUUGGUGAGGUAAAGGCUACACCAAGGCGACGAUCCUUAGCUGGUCUGAGAGGAUGAUCAGCCACA
RNAcentral lists this ribosomal RNA (259 nucleotides) under uncultured soil bacterium. Its description in RNAcentral is "partial 16S ribosomal RNA". It matches the Rfam family "Bacterial small subunit ribosomal RNA", at positions 26 to 312 of the family's 1533-position model. The record is from RNAcentral.